UCUCUCCACCUUUUCCAUCUCUAUACUUUAAAGAUGGAAGUCUGUGCAUGGGGGGGAAGAGGGAAAAAGAGCCUGUUUUUAACUUCCUUGCUAUCCACCACAAAAUAAGCAAUCCUUUUCUUUAGAGGACUUUCUUUAUCUAUUGCACACCACACUACAUCUUUGAGCAAGUGCCAAAUUUGUACCGAAGUAUUGACCCAGUUGAUUUUUUUUCCCCUUCCUUUCUCCUGUUCCUUCUUAAAUUAGGACAGUGUUAUAUCUUAGACAAUCCCUUGAAAAAACCUGAAAUACCAGCAGCUGGUGAGAUUUGACUUUUUUUUUUUUUAAUGGAAACUGUAGGUGCUGUUCUCAGGUGAAAAGAGAGAGAGAGAGAGACAUAAGAAAUUUAGAGAAAAAAAUAUUUUCUGAUCUUGGAUUUUUGUGUGUAUGUAUGUGUGUGAUUAUGGUACUAAUAGGAAUAACGUUGGACCAUUGUGAGUUAAACCCACAUCUGGGGAUGAAAUCCCACAUCCUCCUAAGUGACUGGUCUGGAAGCAACCUUGACCUUGACUUUGCACUUCAAAUGACAACUUAACCAAUAUAGGGCUCAGAAAUUGUAUUUUUAAAUUACUAAUAUGAUUAUUAUUGGAUGGAUCAGGUGGCCCUGUGUAAUAGAGGGGUGCAUGUAUAACAUGGAAGCUACUAGCAAACUGCUCCCAGAUGUCCCUUCUCCCUGCUCAGUUGGUUCCACUAACAUUUGCUACUUAAUAAUUUCUGUUUGUCUUUCCUGUUGAUAACUUCGAGCAAAACAAUCAUUGUUUUCCUUGAAUACAUUUGCCAAUUUUCCAGAAAUACAGAAUUUGUGUAUUUCUUCAACAUUCCAUCCUUUCCUGAUGAGGAAAUGGAACUGAUAAUUUUCAAAGGUAUUCUUCAUCUCUCCAUGAAAUGAGGGGGAGGCCAUUUGCAUUUCAGAAUUGUGGGCCAUGUACAUCUCGUGCCGUAAAAAGCAGGAUUUGAUUAAAAUCACGGCAGCCCAACACGACGGAACCUGGCUGAACCCAGCAAUCCCUGCACCGCUCUUUUCUUGCUGUAAGAUGAAGCCACUGAAGUCCGGUUUUUCAUUCCAGCAGAGGAUGUGCUCAGAGCAACAACUGAUGGUGACGGGGCUGCUUAGUUAGACUUCACCAGCCAAGUGCCAGGGCAGUCGUAGGGCUCGUACAAACAAACGCGACAUCAUUUAAAGUCAACCAGCACUGUUUGUGCGGAAGCAUCAGACAGUAAAUACUCCCACCAGUAGCUUGGAUGUGCUAUGGUUCCAGUCAUCAUUUUCCUAUCCCACCCCCCCCCCCAAAAAAAUGACCUAAAGUUUGAUUUUUACAUAUAAAUAAGAAAAAAAUACUUUUUAUUUUUCUCUCUCUCAAAAGACUUGCUCUGGGGUUUUGCUUGGAGGAACUAAUCAUAUCCUGCAUGUCAGAGAUUUUGUUUUUGUUUGUUUUUCUGUUUGUUUUUGAUGACUGUAUUUUCAUUUGAACUGCCUCUUUUUGCUAGUGUUGUAAUAAUGAUGAUGAUAAAAUAAUAAUAAUAAUAAUAGUAAUAAUAAUAAUAAUGGUCAGCUGUUCCCAGAUUAGUAAGUUAUGUAUAAUUUAUUUCUCCCUUUCUAUUUUAUUCUGCUCUGAUUUGGAAGUGCAGCCAAUAAGUUGUUAGAUAUUUAAAACAAAUUUCCAUCUCCAACAUAUAUAUAUGUAUACAUAUGUAUACAUACAUAUAUAUGUACACACACACAUGCACACACAUACACAAUGUCAUUUCUCCUUCCAUAAGUUUUAUCCUUUCAAAAAAUUUGGCCCCAACAAUGUCAAGUUCUGGUAUUUAAUACAUAUGAGUGAAUUAAUAGGAGGGUCGUGUUCAAUCUUAAUUAACUUAUGCUCUCAUCACUCAUUUUAGUUAUUUAAUUGCCACAGUCAUCUAGAGCCAAUUUUUUUGUUUUUGUUUGUUUUGUUUUUAAGCACUCUGGAUAAAAAAAAAUAGACACUUGUUUUUAUAUGGUUAUUAUGUACAAUGUGAAAACAGAUUUUUAAAAAUUUGUUCUGUCUUUGUUAACAAAUUUUUUCUGACUUCUGUGGGUUCACCUCUCACGUUUGCUGGAUACUUAUUUCCACCAUGUUAUAAAGAUGCUUUGUUUUCAUUUCAUGACUUUGGGCUACAAGAAUACUUUGUUUUAGCUCCAGGUAGAAGCCACUGAGGGCAUUUACGGCUGAAACCAAUUCUAAUCCAUUUACCAGAGAAUUGACAAAACCCUCUGUUUGGCCUUUUUGUUUGUUUGUUUUAUUUGAAGGGGAAAAUGCAAUUGUUAGUGGUGACCUGUAACUGCUGAAAUUCAGAAAUUUAUUUUCAUUUUACUUAGGUUUACAUCAGAGAGACUAAACUGCGUGGACUGAAACAGAAAUCAAGUCUAUAGCCCUGUAUUACCUUGUCUUCUUCUGACAUCUAAUUCACUGGGUGUCACGAUUUUUUUUUUUUUGCCUUAAUUUUCCCCAAAAGAAAACAAAAAAUCACAUUAAUGUUUAAAGUGCUUUGAAGUCAUUUGAUAAAAGGUGCUCUGAAUGGCAGCCUAUUGGGUUAGCACAUUGCCUUUUUGGCAUUUGAUUGGCUUAUAAUUUUAUAAAGGAUCCUAAAACCUUGUAUUCUUUUGUUGGGCCCCAUGAUGACCAAAAAAGGAUAAAGGAGAGGAAAUGAAAGUCAGAUCAACUCAAAUGAACAGAAAGCUUCCCUCCUCUCCUCUUUCCUACCUUCCUGUUUGCAUUUCACAUUCCUUUCUCUCUCUCUCUCUCUCUCUCUCUUUCUUUCUUUCUCUCUCUCUCUCACACACACACAGACACACACACACACACACACGCACACACAAGCUCACCCCAGUACUGAAUACUUGCCAGAAUUCUGUUUCUUAUGGCCGUUUUGAUCAGUUCUUCUAAAAAUAGUCAUGUUUUAAUAUGAAUCUAAGAGACUGUCACUGGAGAAAAUAGGCUAAAGUUACUCACUUAUCAGUUACUAGUAAUUUGGCUAGUUACUGCAAUGAAUAAAAUACACGGUGGUUCUUCAGUACACUUAUACCUAAACUAGUUAAGUCAAUUUUUAACGUUUAUUUGGCAUCUGCAGUUGAGUUAACCAUGUAUAAAAAUCCCUCCUUCCAAAGACUAUAGUCAUUAUUGACACCAAAUCCUCUUAUAAGGAACAAAUGCAAAAGAAUUUCUUUGGUGAAAUGAUUUUGUAGAUUUGAUUUUGGAAUAGACUUUUUAACCUUCAUUCACUUAAAGAAAAUUAUCAACUCUUUUAUGGUCCAGUUUCAGAUAUUUUCUUAAUCCAGAAGAUGUGACUGUUCCCAGAAGAAACUUCUUAUGCCACAUUUAAAACAUCAAAAAUAGUUACGUUUUCAUUCAUUCUAAUGGGUAAAUUAUUUGAAUUGUAAUAACUGUAUAUCUACAAACAGGUUUAUAAAAUAUUUGUCUAUCAAGUUAAUAGUAAAAAAAUGAUGGCGUCUGCAAGGAAAAAUAUGAAGCCCACUUAAAGUGGUUCAGAGAUUUCUUUUGUCUUCUAGGGCAAUAGGUUUUUGUUUAGACAGGCUUUUUCAGUAUUUAAUUUUAAAGUUUCCUAUAACUGUCAGUUUCCCAGGUUGAAGAUGACGUUGAGUUUUCUACUGAUCGAUGCUUGUCCUCCCCAGUGUUUCUGUCACUGGCUCACUAAAACAGUAUUUAUAUAGCUCCACUGGCUUUAAAGCUCUUAGUCCUUCUAACAUUUGGGAUUUUACAAGGAAAAAUGGGAAAAAGUAGAAAAGAGACAAUCAAAUGCCUGGAGCUUAAAACAAAGUAUGUGCAACCUACCAUCUCACUUGAAAUUUAAUAAAAUAAAUAAUUAUGUAAAUAUAACAUAGAGUUAUAGAUUUAUAUUUUGUUCAUAACACAUAGUGUAAUAUAAGUUGUAUAUUUUCAUGUUUUUGGUUUUAUGUUAUCAUUCAUGCCACAAUAAAAAAUAAAACAGGAGUUUAUGUACUCUUAAAAAAAAAAGAUGUGGGUUGCCACCAACCUGUUUUUUUUUUCUUUUUUUUUUUUUUGAUUUUGUUUUUUGUUUUUGCAUUCUCUUUUUUCAGUAUUACUGCCAUGCAAGGCACCAAUAAAAACAGCAAAUGUGUUCU
Molecule: long non-coding RNA, 4168 nt
Filed under: Sus scrofa (pig)
Lineage: Eukaryota; Metazoa; Chordata; Mammalia; Artiodactyla; Suidae
Description: lncRNA (ENSSSCG00000054963.1)
Source: RNAcentral